This 561-nucleotide long non-coding RNA is filed under the name Ornithorhynchus anatinus (platypus). Its description in RNAcentral is "lncRNA (ENSOANG00000047934.1)". The record is from RNAcentral. Lineage: Eukaryota; Metazoa; Chordata; Mammalia; Monotremata; Ornithorhynchidae.
GGUUUCUUGGAAGGUCUGGUCUGCCCGGCAAUCUUUUCUCUUCCUGAACUCUCCUUGUGCUCAGAAUGGCUCCCCGACCACUUACAAAGUGGGUCCUGUGCGAACCAUUUUAUGUUCAUUGUCCUUUCUAGGGACUUGGCUCCAUGGAGUUCUUCAAAAGAGGAAUUAAAGACUCAGGGACCGUGCCAUUCGCUGUGCUUCUCAAAUCAUCAUCAGCUGCUUUUGAGGAUGAACAACAGAGCCCCAGGAGCUGCUCCCAUAAAUGACUUCCAAUACAUUGCGGAGAGAGACUAUUAUUCAGAUGCCUGCUAUUACACGGCCUGCACUCGGCCGUUCCACACCGCGCCUCUCCUGACUCGCUUUCAGAGAUCCACUGUCGUCAGCAAAGGGAGAGUGGGCCUGGAGCUUCCGGGAAAGUGCUCUGAGUUGGUGAAAGCUCCCGGAAUGGCAGGCAUUCACAGUUGCAAGUUGCCACCUGGAACCAAUCCACUGAAAGAACCUACAGAAUGGGAGAAAGCUACCACGUUCAUAUACCCUCACUCGUGGAAAUAUUGACACAGA